RNAcentral lists this ribosomal RNA (466 nucleotides) under uncultured bacterium. Its description in RNAcentral is "partial 16S ribosomal RNA". It matches the Rfam family "Bacterial small subunit ribosomal RNA", at positions 339 to 795 of the family's 1533-position model. The record is from RNAcentral.
CUACGGGACGCAGCAGUGGGGAAUAUUGGACAAUGGGGGAAACCCUGAUCCAGCAAUGCCGCGUGUGUGAAGAAGGCCUGCGGGUUGUAAAGCACUUUCGGUUGGGAGGACUGCUUCUAGCACUAAUAUUGUUGGAAGUUGACGUUACCUUCAGAAGAAGCACCGGCUAACUCCGUGCCAGCAGCCGCGGUAAUACGGGAGGGUGCAAGCGUUAAUCGGAAUUACUGGGCGUAAAGCGCGCGUAGGCGGCUAGAUCAGUCGGGUGUGAAAGCCCCGGGCUUAACCUGGGAACUGCAUCCGAUACUGUCUAGCUUGAGUACAGGAGAGGAGAGUGGAAUUCCACAUGUAGCGGUGAAAUGCGUAGAUAUGUGGAGGCACACCAAUGGCGAAGGCAGCUCUCUGGCCUGAUACUGACGCUGAGGUGCGAAAGCGUGGGGAGCAAACAGGAUUAGAUACCCCUGUAGUC